UACGGAAGGCAGCAGUGGGGAAUAUUGCACAAUGGGCGCAAGCCUGAUGCAGCCAUGCCGCGUGUAUGAAGAAGGCCUUCGGGUUGUAAAGUACUUUCAGUCGUGAGGAAGGUGUUAAGGUUAAUAACCUUAGCAAUUGACGUUAGCGACAGAAGAAGCACCGGCUAACUCCGUGCCAGCAGCCGCGGUAAUACGGAGGGUGCGAGCGUUAAUCGGAAUUACUGGGCGUAAAGGGCACGCAGGCGGUUAAUUAAGUUGGAUGUGAAAUCCCCGGGCUUAACCUGGGAAUGGCAUUCAAGACUGGUUAGCUAGAGUCUUGUAGAGGGGGUAGAAUUCCAUGUGUAGCGGUGAAAUGCGUAGAGAUGUGGAGGAAUACCGGUGGCGAAGGCGGCCCCUGGACAAAGGCUGACGCUCAUGUGCGAAAGCGUGGGGAGCGAAAC
This 440-nucleotide ribosomal RNA is filed under the name uncultured bacterium. Its description in RNAcentral is "bacterial SSU rRNA". It matches the Rfam family "Bacterial small subunit ribosomal RNA", at positions 340 to 774 of the family's 1533-position model. The record is from RNAcentral.